GGGGAUUUAGCUCAGUGGUAGAGCGCUUGCCUAGCAAGCGCAAGGCCCUGGGUUCGCUCCCCAGCUCUG
Molecule: transfer RNA, 69 nt
Filed under: Rattus norvegicus (Norway rat)
Lineage: Eukaryota; Metazoa; Chordata; Mammalia; Rodentia; Muridae
Rfam family: tRNA
About the family: Transfer RNA (tRNA) molecules are approximately 80 nucleotides in length.
Source: Rfam by way of RNAcentral